This 355-nucleotide unclassified non-coding RNA is filed under the name soil metagenome. RNAcentral describes it as "partial contains 5.8S ribosomal RNA, internal transcribed spacer 2, and large subunit ribosomal RNA". The stretch from base 1 to 120 matches the Rfam family "5.8S ribosomal RNA", at positions 35 to 154 of the family's 154-position model. The record is from RNAcentral.
GAUGUAGAACGUAGCGAAAUGCGAUAAGUAAUGUGAAUUGCAGAAUUCAGUGAAUCAUCGAAUCUUUGAACGCACAUUGCGCCCAUUAGUAUUCUAGUGGGCAUGCCUGUUCGAGCGUCAUUAAGUCCACUUAAGCCCUGCUUAGUGUUGGGAGACUGCUCCAGCGGUGCUACCCUGUAGCUACCCUGCAGCUCCUCAAAGACAGCGGCGGAGUUGUGGUAUCCUCUGAGCUUAGUAACUUGUUCUAGCUUUCGAGUACACCACUUCCCCUGCCGUAAAACCCUUAAUUUUUAAUGGUUGACCUCGGAUCAGGUAGGAAUACCCGCUGAACUUAAGCAUAUCAAUAAGCGGAGGA